RNA transcript from Raphanus sativus (radish), 1977 nucleotides. RefSeq lists it as uncharacterized. The transcript has 4 exons. Lineage: Eukaryota; Viridiplantae; Streptophyta; Magnoliopsida; Brassicales; Brassicaceae. The record is from RefSeq and is a predicted model, not a curated record.
UAGCUUGUCUCUCUCUUACGUUUACUCAAAGUCUUUCAGGAUCUUUACUUUUAAAAAGUCUCUCAAAGCCUCUCUUUCUCUUUGAACCAUUCAAAAUAUUCUCUUUCAGACACAGUCUCAAAGAAGUUAACUCUUGGUUCCAAUUUGUGCUUUUUCUUUCUUCCGGUAAGUAACGUUCACUUCCUAUGGCGGAGGAGAGGAGACUCAACUUCAACGCACCUCUUCUUUCAACCAGGCGGAUGCACAGCACAGCUGUCUCUGUCCGCAGAAACAAGAGUAAUAACUUCACUCUUGAGAUUGGUUUAGAUGAUGAGGUUACUGAAGCCGCCUCUGUUCCUUUCACAUGGGAGCAAUCUCCCGGGAGACUAAAAGGACAUGAUUCCAAACCUCAGAAAGUAGUCUGUGAUCAAGUCGUCACGCCGUGUCUUCCACCGGGGAAAGUGAUGGAGAAAACCUUAGAUGGAAACCUGCGUUCAAAGGUUGAAGAAGGGUCAGAGGAUGUGUUUUCUGAUGCACGUGAUACACUCUCUUACUCCAUAACUGGUGUGAGUGGAUAUGGUGUUGUUGAGACCAAGAACCCUUUUGAGGAUCUUCAGUCACGAGAUUUCAUGUUAAACCGUUUCUUACCAGCUGCUAAAGCCAUGACUGUGGAGCAGCCUCACUAUGGAUCCAACCGUAAACCAUCCACUUUCAUGCCUGAACCAACGAUACAAAUAAGAGAUUUAGUACCAGAGGAGAAGCGGCAAACUCCUAAUAGGUAUGGUGACCAUCACCAAGACAUAGAUGCUGAAGAAAGCGUGGAUGAUGAUGAUGAUAUUUCAAGGAGAGGUUGUGGUAUGUUGCCACAGUUUUGCUUUAAAGAAUCUGUAACCAUGGUAUGUUUUAAAUCCAAACAAAAGUCUCCAAGCAAGGCUUCUCAACUCAAAUCUCGAUUCCAAUCUAUCAAACAGUUGGCUCUUGAUUCUGUUUCCAAGCAUAAGUUGGGUGGUAAAGUUCCAUCGCCGGUUCAUCCAAACCUGACUUCUGCUGCAAGUAUGUCUUCAUCUCCUUACAGACACACUAGAUGUAUGUCACCAUUUCGCAACGCUUCUCCGUUUCACCCCGAAACUCGUAAGGAAACCGAGAACAUGAGAGCUAGCAGGUUGAACAAGCAUAUUAGUAACAUAAGCAGGUCUACUCAGGAACUACUCUGUCCAAAAGGCAACGGUUCAAGUAGCUCUCUCUUGGAGAAGACAGUAUAUGUCGACACCGAGGAUUCUCCCAAGACUAAUACUAUGAUCUUUCCAGAGGAAGUAGAGAAGAAACCAGAAACCAAUCUUAAGCCUGAAGAGUUAGAAAAGAUCAAGAAUGGUUCUGGUCGGUCUCCUCUUGCACCACCAUCGCCCAAGAAGCCAUCUGAAUCUUGGCUUUUUCAUAAUCUUCCUUCAGUAGUAAACUCUCCGAGCCCUUCACGUAGAUAUACGUUACAUCCGAGUUUUAAUGAAAACUCAAGGAAUAUUACCAAGUGGGAAACUAUUGUUAAGACUUCUUACAUGCACAGAGAUCAUAUCCGAUAUUCCGAAGAACUGGUUGGUCAUACAUCCCUUCAAUGAGAGUUUGAAGCUUCUUGAGAUGUCAACAGGUUUUAUUAUGCAUGCAUGCGUUUCAGCUUUGAUUAGCAGUUUUGGGUUCUCGUCACUUCAUUCACCUGUGUAAACAAAAUAAACUCGUCUCGUCACUCACAAUUCAGUAAGACUUUAGAAACAAAUGAAGUGGAAAACUAAUGGCUUGAGUUAGUGUUGCCGGCCCAACAAAAGUCUAAUGUAUUAUUAAAUUCAAGAAAGACAAAAGAUUCCACUUGCCUGCUCCUCUAGGCAAUGUACUACUACUUAUGCUUCUCGGAUGUCAGCUUCAAGAAUGAACAAACCUUAUGUCCUUUGUCAGAUGGUGUUAGUUAUAUUUACUACGUAGAUACAUAUAAUGAUAUAACAGCUUAGG